Molecule: ribosomal RNA, 253 nt
Filed under: uncultured bacterium
Lineage: Bacteria
Description: partial 16S ribosomal RNA
Rfam family: Bacterial small subunit ribosomal RNA
Source: RNAcentral
UACGUAGGGAGCAAGCGUUGUCCGGAAUCAUUGGGCGUAAAGGGCGCGUAGGUGGCUGGGCAAGCGUGCGGUGAAAGCUCGGGGCUCAACCCCGAGUCGGCCGUGCGAACUGCCGAGCUUGAGCACUGUAGAGGCAAGCGGAAUUCCUGGUGUAGCGGUGAAAUGCGUAGAUAUCAGGAGGAACACCCGUGGUGUAGACGGCUUGCUGGACAGUCACUGACGCUGAGGCACGAAAGCGUGGGGAGCAAACAGG